AGAGUUUGAUUAUGGCUCAGGAUGAACGCUAGCGACAGGCCUAACACAUGCAAGCGAGGGGCAGCACAAGGAGCAAUCUGAGGUGGCGACCGGCGCACGGGUGAGUAACGCGUAUGCAACCUACCUAUCAGAGGGGAAUAACCCGGCGAAAGUCGGACUAAUACCGCAUAAAACAGGGGCACCGCAUGGUGAUAUUUGUUAAAGAAAUUCGCUGAUAGAUGGGCAUGCGUUCCAUUAGGUAGUUGGUGAGGUAACGGCUCACCAAGCCGACGAUGGAUAGGGGAACUGAGAGGUUGGUCCCCCACACUGGUACUGAGACACGGACCAGACUCCUACGGGAGGCAGCAGUGAGGAAUAUUGGUCAAUGGGCGGGAGCCUGAACCAGCCAAGUCGCGUGAAGGGAAAAGAAGGAUCUAUGGUUCGUAAACUUCUUUUGCAGGGGAAUAAAGUGCAGGACGUGUCCUGUUUUGUAUGUACCCUGAGAAUAAGGAUCGGCUAACUCCGUGCCAGCAGCAGC
RNAcentral lists this ribosomal RNA (517 nucleotides) under uncultured bacterium. Its description in RNAcentral is "bacterial SSU rRNA". It matches the Rfam family "Bacterial small subunit ribosomal RNA", at positions 8 to 518 of the family's 1533-position model. The record is from RNAcentral.